Long non-coding RNA from Etheostoma spectabile (orangethroat darter), 128 nucleotides. RefSeq lists it as uncharacterized. The transcript has 4 exons. The record is from RefSeq and is a predicted model, not a curated record. Lineage: Eukaryota; Metazoa; Chordata; Actinopteri; Perciformes; Percidae.
UGCAAAAUAAUGGUGAAUUACAUUAAAUGAAAUCUAGACUAUAUUAUACAAAGUAAAUCUGCAUUGAGCUCAAUUUUGCUGAGGUUUCACAAGCUAAUUUGAGCUGUUGACCAGUAACAAGUCAUUUU